CCUACGGGUGGCAGCAGUGAGGAAUAUUGGUCAAUGGACGGAAGUCUGAACCAGCCAUGCCGCGUGCAGGAAGACGGCUCUAUGAGUUGUAAACUGCUUUUGUACAAGGGUAAACCUGAAUACGUGUAUUCAGCUGAAAGUACUGUACGAAUAAGGAUCGGCUAACUCCGUGCCAGCAGACGCGGUAAUACGGAGGAUCCAAGCGUUAUCCGGAUUUAUUGGGUUUAAAGGGUGCGUAGGCGGAUUGAUAAGUUAGAGUUGAAAUGUCCGAGCUUAACUCGGGAACUGCCUCUAAUAAUGUUGUUCUAGAGAGUAGAUGCGGUAGGCGGAAUGUAUGGUGUAGCGGUGAAAUGCUUAGAGAUCAUACAGAACACCGAUUGCGAAGGCAGCUUACCAAUCUAUAUCUGACGUUGAGGCACGAAAGCGUGGGGAGCAAACAGGAUUAGAUACCCUAGUAGUC
RNAcentral lists this ribosomal RNA (460 nucleotides) under uncultured bacterium. Its description in RNAcentral is "partial 16S ribosomal RNA". It matches the Rfam family "Bacterial small subunit ribosomal RNA", at positions 338 to 795 of the family's 1533-position model. The record is from RNAcentral.